Molecule: ribosomal RNA, 318 nt
Filed under: Triticum aestivum (bread wheat)
Lineage: Eukaryota; Viridiplantae; Streptophyta; Magnoliopsida; Poales; Poaceae
Description: partial small subunit ribosomal RNA
Source: RNAcentral
AUGAUUUUACGUGAUCGUGAAGGUGAUGUCAUUUUUGCCGCGAUACGGGUCCUUUUUAACUGUGGUGAUCCCUUGGAAGCCGAGAUGGCGGCGCUGGAUGAAGGACUACAACUUGCUCUUCAUUGGACUAACCUGCCGCUGCUUGUUGAAACGGAUAGUGGCGAGCUGUUAAAGAUGGUGCAGUCGAAAGAUAAAGACCGGUCGAGGUAUGCGUACCGGGUUAAUGAGAUCAGAAGAGUUCUGGCUCAAGAAAGGAACAUUAGUCUAGCUAAGAUCAGCAGGCACGCAAAUUUGGCGAGCCACACCCUAGCUUGUAUG